Molecule: ribosomal RNA, 504 nt
Filed under: uncultured bacterium
Lineage: Bacteria
Description: partial 16S ribosomal RNA
Rfam family: Bacterial small subunit ribosomal RNA
Source: RNAcentral
AUUGAACGCUGGCGGCAGGCCUAACACAUGCAAGUCGAACGGUAGCACAGAGAGCUUGCUCUCGGGUGACGAGUGGCGGACGGGUGAGUAAUGUCUGGGAAACUGCCCGAUGGAGGGGGAUAACUACUGGAAACGGUAGCUAAUACCGCAUAACGUCGCAAGACCAAAGUGGGGGACCUUCGGGCCUCACACCAUCGGAUGUGCCCAGAUGGGAUUAGCUAGUAGGUGGGGUAAUGGCUCACCUAGGCGACGAUCCCUAGCUGGUCUGAGAGGAUAACCAGCCACACUGGAACUGAGACACGGUCCAGACUCCUACGGGAGGCAGCAGUGGGGAAUGUUGCACAAUGGGCGCAAGCCUGAUGCAGCCAUGCCGCGUGUAUGAAGAAGGCCUUCGGGUUGUAAAGUACUUUCAGCGGGGAGGAAGGCGGUGAAGUUAAUAACUUCACCGAUUGACGUUACCCGCAGAAGAAGCACCGGCUAACUCCGUGCCAGCAGCCGCGGUAA